GAUGAACGCUAGCGGCAGGCUUAACACAUGCAAGUCGAGGGGUAUAUUAGGUGCUUGCAUUUAAUAGAGACCGGCGGACGGGUGCGUAACGCGUAUGUAACUUGUCCUACACUAAGGGAUAGCCCGGAGAAAUUUGGAUUAAUACCUUAUGGUAUUUUAGCCACAGAAGUGGUUAUAAUUAAAGAUUUAUCGGUGUAGGUUAGGCAUGCGUCCUAUUAGCUAGAUGGUAGAGUAACGGUUUACCAUGGCUACGAUAGGUAGGGGUUCUGAGAGGGAGAUCCCCCACACUGGGACUGAGACACGGCCCAGACUCCUACGGGAGGCAGCAGUGAGGAAUAUUGGUCAAUGGGCGCAAGCCUGAACCAGCCAUGCCGCGUGCAGGAAUACAGCCUUAUGGGUUUUAAACUGCUUUUAUACAGGAGGAAAGUUAUCUUUGCGAAGGUUUUUGACGUUACUGUAUGAAUAAGGAUCGGCUAACUCCGUGCCAGCCGCCGCCGUAACAC
RNAcentral lists this ribosomal RNA (503 nucleotides) under uncultured bacterium. RNAcentral's name for it is "bacterial SSU rRNA". It matches the Rfam family "Bacterial small subunit ribosomal RNA", at positions 28 to 526 of the family's 1533-position model. The record is from RNAcentral.